This 482-nucleotide ribosomal RNA is filed under the name uncultured bacterium. RNAcentral's name for it is "partial 16S ribosomal RNA". It matches the Rfam family "Bacterial small subunit ribosomal RNA", at positions 30 to 507 of the family's 1533-position model. The record is from RNAcentral.
AUUGAACGCUGGCGGCAUGCCUUACACAUGCAAGUCGAACGGUAACGGGCCUUCGGGUGCCGACGAGUGGCGAACGGGGGAGUAAUACAUCGGAACGUGCCCGAUCGGGGGGGAUAACGAGGCGAAAGCUUUGCUAAUACCGCAUACGAUCUACGGAUGAAAGCAGGGGACCGCAAGGCCUUGCGCGGACGGAGCGGCCGAUGGCAGAUUAGGUAGUUGGUGGGAUAAAAGCUUACCAAGCCGACGAUCUGUAGCUGGUCUGAGAGGAUGAUCAGCCACACUGGGACUGAGACACGGCCCAGACUCCUACGGGAGGCAGCAGUGGGGAAUUUUGGACAAUGGGCGCAAGCCUGAUCCAGCCAUGCCGCGUGCAGGAUGAAGGCCUUCGGGUUGUAAACUGCUUUUGUACGGAACGAAAAGCCUUCUUUUAAUACAGGAGGGUCAUGACGGUACCGUAAGAAUAAGCACCGGCUAACUACGUG